Molecule: ribosomal RNA, 253 nt
Filed under: uncultured bacterium
Lineage: Bacteria
Description: partial 16S ribosomal RNA
Rfam family: Bacterial small subunit ribosomal RNA
Source: RNAcentral
UACGGAGGGUGCAAGCGUUAUCCGGAUUCACUGGGCUUAAAGGGUGCGUAGGCGGGUAAGUAAGUCAGUGGUGAAAUCUCCGGGCUUAACCCGGAAACUGCCAUUGAUACUAUUUGUCUUGAAUACUGUGGAGGUCAGCGGAAUAUGUCAUGUAGCGGUGAAAUGCUUAGAUAUGACAUAGAACACCAAUUGCGAAGGCAGCUGGCUACACAAAUAUUGACACUGAGGCACGAAAGCGUGGGGAUCAAACAGG